Molecule: ribosomal RNA, 519 nt
Filed under: uncultured bacterium
Lineage: Bacteria
Description: bacterial SSU rRNA
Rfam family: Bacterial small subunit ribosomal RNA
Source: RNAcentral
AAUAGAUACCCUGGUAGUCCACGCCGUAAACGAUGUCGACUUGGAGGUUGUGCCCUUGAGGCGUGGCUUCCGGAGCUAACGCGUUAAGUCGACCGCCUGGGGAGUACGGCCGCAAGGUUAAAACUCAAAUGAAUUGACGGGGGGCCCGCACAAGCGGUGGAGCAUGUGGUUUAAUUCGAUGCAACGCGAAGAACCUUACCUGGCCUUGACAUCCACAGAAUUCUGCAGAGAUGCGGAAGUGCCUUCGGGAACUGUGAGACAGGUGCUGCAUGGCUGUCGUCAGCUCGUGUUGUGAAUGUUGGGUUAAGUCCGCAACGAGCGCAACCCUUAUCCUUUGUUGCCAGCGGUCCGGCCGGGAACUCAAAGGAGACUGCCAGUGAUAAACUGGAGGAAGGUGGGGAUGACGUCAAGUCAUCAUGGCCCUUACGACCAGGGCUACACACGUGCUACAAUGGCGCAUACAAAGAGAAGCGACCCCGCGAGGGCAAGCGGACCUCAUAAAGUGCGUCGUAGUCCGGA